UUGCAGUUAGAACGCUCGUAGUCGGAUUUCGGGGCGGGCCGACCGGUCUGCCGAUGGGUAUGCACUGGUCGGCGCGUCCUUCCUUCCGGAGACCGUGCCUACUCUUAACUGAGCGGGGGCGGGAGACGGAUCGUUUACUUUGAAAAAAUCAGAGUGUUUCAAGCAGGCAGCUCGCUCUUGCAUGGAUUAGCAUGGGAUAAUGAAAUAGGACUUUGGUGCUAUUUUGUUGGUUUCGAUCACCGAAGUAAUGAUUAACAGGGACAGUCAGGGGCACUCGUAUUCCGCCGAGAGAGGUGAAAUUCUCAGACCAGCGGAAGACGAACUACUGCGAAAGCAUUUGCCAGGGAUGUUUUCACUGAUCAAGAACGAAAGUUAGGGGAUCGAAGACGAUCAGAUACCGUCGUAGUCUUAACCAUAAACCAUGCCGACUAGGGAUUUUUCGAUGUUCACUUAUUGACUCGGGAAGCACCUUACGGGAAACUAAAGUCUUUGGGUUCCGGGGGGAGUAUGGUCGCAAGGCUGAAACUUAAAGGAAUUGACGGAAGGGCACCACCAGGUGUGGAGCCUGCGGCUUAAUUUGACUCAACACGGGGAAACUUACCAGGUCCAGACAUUGUGAGGAUUGACAGAUUGAGAGCUCUUUCUUGAU
RNAcentral lists this ribosomal RNA (649 nucleotides) under uncultured marine eukaryote. Its description in RNAcentral is "SSU rRNA". It matches the Rfam family "Eukaryotic small subunit ribosomal RNA", at positions 613 to 1266 of the family's 1831-position model. The record is from RNAcentral.